AACCCAAAUUAAUAGAUUAACGGCGUAAAGCGUGUUUAAGAGAGACUAUAAAAUAAAGCCAAACUUUAGCUAAUCUGUAAAAAGUCUUAGCUAAUGUAAGAACCAUAACGAAAGUAGCUUUAACAUGCUGAACACACGAUAGCUAAGACCCAAACUGGGAUUAGAUACCCCACUAUGCUUAGCCAUAAACCUAAAAAAUCUAUAAAACAAACAAGAUUGUUCGCCAGAGUACUACUAGCUAAAGCCUGAAACUCAAAGGACUUGGCGGUGCUUUAUAUCCCUCUAGAGGAGCCUGUUCUGUAAUCGAUAAACCCCGAUAAACCUCACCAACACUUGCCAACU
This 342-nucleotide ribosomal RNA is filed under the name Noctilio albiventris (lesser bulldog bat). RNAcentral's name for it is "partial 12S ribosomal RNA". It matches the Rfam family "Bacterial small subunit ribosomal RNA", at positions 536 to 989 of the family's 1533-position model. Lineage: Eukaryota; Metazoa; Chordata; Mammalia; Chiroptera; Noctilionidae. The record is from RNAcentral.